RNAcentral lists this ribosomal RNA (499 nucleotides) under uncultured bacterium. RNAcentral's name for it is "bacterial SSU rRNA". It matches the Rfam family "Bacterial small subunit ribosomal RNA", at positions 8 to 507 of the family's 1533-position model. The record is from RNAcentral.
AGAGUUUGAUCCUGGCUCAGAUUGAACGCUGGCGGCAUGCCUUACACUUGCAAGUCGAACGGUACGGGCUUCGGGUGCCGACGAGUGGCGAACGGGUGAGUAAUGCAUCGGAACGUACCUUUCAGUGGGGGAUAACGUAGCGAAAGUUACGCUAAUACCGCAUAUUCUGUGAGCAGGAAAGCAGGGGAUCACAAGACCUUGCGCUGAUUGAGCGGCCGAUGUCAGAUUAGCUAGUUGGUGAGGUAAAGGCUCACCAAGGCGACGAUCUGUAGCGGGUCUGAGAGGAUGAUCCGCCACACUGGAACUGAGACACGGUCCAGACUCCUACGGGAGGCAGCAGUGGGGAAUUUUGGACAAUGGGGCAACCCUGAUCCAGCCAUGCCGCGUGAGUGAAGAAGGCCUUCGGGUUGUAAAGCUCUUUCGGCCGGGAAGAAAUCGCAUGGGUUAAUACCCUGUGCGGAUGACGGUACCGGCAUAAGAAGCACCGGCUAACUACGUG